CCUACGGGUGGCUGCAGUCGAGAAUCUUCCGCAAUGGGCGAAAGCCUGACGGAGCGACACCGCGUGCAGGACGAAGGCCCUCGGGUUGUAAACUGCUGUCACGCUCUAGGAAACCCAUGUCGUUAAUAGCGGCAUGGCUGACUAAAGCGAGAGGAAGUGGCGGCUAACUCUGUGCCAGCAGCCGCGGUAAGACAGAGGCCACGAACGUUGUUCGGAAUCACUGGGCAUAAAGCGCACGUAGGCGGCUAGGUCCGUCCAAUGUGAAAGCCCCCGGCUCAACCGGGGAAUUGCAUCGGAUACAGCCUGGCUUGAGGACGGUUGGGGUGAGUGGAACUCCUGGUGGAGCGGUGAAAUGCGUAGAUAUCAGGAGGAACACCGGUGGCGAAAGCGGCUCACUGGACCGUUACUGACGCUGAGGUGCGAAAGCUAGGGGAGCAAAC
This 440-nucleotide ribosomal RNA is filed under the name uncultured bacterium. RNAcentral describes it as "bacterial SSU rRNA". It matches the Rfam family "Bacterial small subunit ribosomal RNA", at positions 338 to 773 of the family's 1533-position model. The record is from RNAcentral.